This is a long non-coding RNA of Calidris pugnax (ruff), 1282 nucleotides long. RefSeq lists it as uncharacterized. The record is from RefSeq and is a predicted model, not a curated record. The transcript is spliced from 3 exons. Lineage: Eukaryota; Metazoa; Chordata; Aves; Charadriiformes; Scolopacidae.
UUGAAAGGAAAUAGGGUUUAUUUGAGUGUAAAUAGGAAACAUCUAGAUUGCAUUGCAUUAUUUGCCAGACUAAAAUCUUCUAUGUGGUCUUCUGGAAAGUUUAUAUUAUUUUGGAUUUUUUACUUUUAUUUUUUUUACUGUAGAACUUACAAAGUGAAAGGUUCUUAAAACCUGAAGACCCAGGAGAGACUAACAUCCAAGGAAACUGAGUUUUACAGAUGUACCAGUGCGUUCCCCAAACUUGGCCCUUUCUCAGCCCUGCACUACCUUACUGUUUAUUUCUGUCUCUUUCAUUAUCUCCUCCUAGUCUUUGCAGAUUGUUUGACAUGUAACCUCUAUUAAUAACCUUAGAAUUUUCAGACCCACAGCAUAGCAGCUAUGUAAGAUGAUGAAGUCCCUUCUACACAUUCUGAGUUUGACGGGAAAGUUCACUAUUCGCAAGAGUUAAUAUGGAUGGAAGUUCAAGCUGGGUUCAGAAAUGAAGAUAGUGAGGUGUCAAUGUGUCCAACAUACAGCUUCAGUGCUACAGAUGCACCAAAGAGAGAAAGGAAAACACAACGGAAUUUAAAAACAUGCUUGAGAUCUGCACAGUGAUUCACCAGUUAUUUUUAUACUGGAAACAGAAUUGAUCUGAAAGUUAAGUAUGCCUCAUAGAUCACAGCUGCUCAGUAAACCGAGAAAGAGAAACUGAAAGGAGAAUAUUCAACAGUCACCCAAAACCUCCAUGUUUCUUUGAUGACAUGUGGAACUGAUAACUGGACUGAGAGCAAAGCUGGGAAUGCCUUAGGAUGCAGGAAGUAGAAGAUUCUUACACAGACCAGCUGAGCUAAGGAAGUGAACUUGAAAUAUAAUCCUUGAAAAAAACCAUUAAAUUGCCCUAACAAGAAUACGUAGUGUCCUGAUUUGACUAAAGGUAACUAAACAUUUAUAGUUUCAGGGAUUUAGGACGAAACCAUUAGAACUGUUUUCCCUGUUGACACUGUGACUUGUGAUACUUGCAUGAGACCUCUCGUAAUUUUUGACAUGAAAUCCCUUGACCCAGAAUUAUUACACUUUUUAUUCUGUUCUUUUUAAAGCUCAAAGGCAACAUGCAAUAUAUUCAGGUUUUUUUUUUCCACAAAUGGCAUGUAUGUGUGGUGUGCAUGCCCCAACCAAGCAGCACAGUGUUACUAAUCAGUGUUAGCAAAUAUCAAUACUUAUUAACGACUACAUAAUGGGACACAUUCUUUCAUUGAGCCCCUAUAUAUCUUUAAGAAAUCUUCCUAAAAGGAAGCUUAAAUAU